AGUGAACGCUGGCGGCGUGCUUAACACAUGCGAGUCGAACGAGAACGGGUUAUAGCUUGCUAUAAUUGUCAGCUAAGUGGCGCACGGGUGAGUAAUGUAUAGGUAAUAUGCCUCUUACUAAGGGAUAACAAAUGGAAACGUUUGCUAAUACCUUAUACUCCUUAUUAACAGAAGUUAAUAAGGGAAAGAUUUAUUGGUAAGAGAUUAGCCUGUAUUGUAUCAGUUAGUUGGUGGGGUAAUGGCUUACCAAGACUAUGACACAUAACUGGUUUGAGAGGAUGAUCAGUCACACUGGAACUGAGACACGGUCCAGACUCCUACGGGAGGCAGCAGUGGGGAAUAUUGCACAAUGGACGAAAGUCUGAUGCAGCAACGCCGCGUGGAGGAUGACGCAUUUCGGUGCGUAAACUCCUUUUAUAUGAGAGGAUAAUGACGGUAUUAUAUGAAUAAGCACCGGCUAACUCCGUGCCAGCAGCCGCAGUAA
This 484-nucleotide ribosomal RNA is filed under the name uncultured bacterium. Its description in RNAcentral is "partial 16S ribosomal RNA". It matches the Rfam family "Bacterial small subunit ribosomal RNA", at positions 29 to 523 of the family's 1533-position model. The record is from RNAcentral.